GACGGAGGGUGCUAGCGUUGUUCGGAAUCACUGGGCGUAAAGGGUGCGUAGGCGGCUGUGGCAGUCGGGUGUGAAAGCCCGGAGCUCAACUCCGGAAUUGCACUCGUGACGCCAUGGCUGGAGGCCGGAAGAGGAGGGUGGAAUACCCAGUGUAGAGGUGAAAUUCGUAGAUAUUGGGUGGAACACCGGUGGCGAAAGCGGCUCUCUGGUCCGGACCUGACGCUGAGGCGCGAAGGCCAGGGUAGCGAAAGGG
This 253-nucleotide unclassified non-coding RNA is filed under the name uncultured Alphaproteobacteria bacterium. RNAcentral's name for it is "contains 16S-23S intergenic spacer region". It matches the Rfam family "Bacterial small subunit ribosomal RNA", at positions 524 to 776 of the family's 1533-position model. The record is from RNAcentral. Lineage: Bacteria; Pseudomonadati; Pseudomonadota; Alphaproteobacteria.